RNAcentral lists this ribosomal RNA (1435 nucleotides) under metagenome. Its description in RNAcentral is "bacterial SSU rRNA". It matches the Rfam family "Bacterial small subunit ribosomal RNA". The record is from RNAcentral.
CGGACUCGUUAAUUUAUUAGCGAGUCAGUGGCGAAAGGGUGAGUAAUGAAUAGGUAACGUACCCCGAGCUCUGGGAUAGCCAUCCGAAAGGAUGGGUAAUACCGGAUAACCUCACGAGUCGAUGGGCUCGUGAGCAAAGAUUCAUCGGCGCGGGAGCGGCCUAUUUCCUAUCAGCUAGUUGGUGAGGUAACGGCCCACCAAGGCGAAGACGGGUAGCGGGACUGAGAGGUUGGCCCGCCACAUCGGAACUGAGACACUGUCCGGACCCCCACGGGGGGCUGCAGUACGAAUCUUGGGCAAUGGGCGAAAGCCUGACCCAGCGACGCCGCGUGCGGGAGGAAGUCCUUCGGGAUGUAAACCGCUGUCAGGGUCGUGAAAGUCCACUUCGGUGGAUUGAUCUAACCCAGAGGAAGUCACGGCUAACUCUGUGCCAGCAGCCGCGGUAAGACAGAGGUGGCUAGCGUUGUUCGGUAUCACUGGGCUUAAAGCGUGUGUAGGCGGAAGCGUAAGCAUUUUGUGAAAUCCCCCGGCUCAACCGGGGAAUCGCUUGAUGUACUGCGUUUCUUGAGGCAAGUAGGGGUGCGAGGAACUCUUGGUGGAGCGGUGGAAUGCGUAGAUAUCAAGAGGAACGCCGGUGGUGAAGACGUCGCACUAGGCUUGUCCUGACGCUGAGACACGAAAGCGUGGGGAGCGAACGGGAUUAGAUACCCCGGUAGUCCACGCCGUAAACGAUGCUUACUAGGUUGUGGCGGUUCUGACGCCGGCACAGCCGCAGCAAAAGUGUUAAGUAAGCCGCCUGGGGAGUACGGUCGCAAGGCUAAAACUCAAAGGAAUUGACGGGGGCUCACACAAGCGGUGGAGCAUGUGGAUUAAUUCGAAUCAACGCGCAGAACCUUACCUGGGUUUGACAUGCUUGGAUGCCUUUCUGGAAACAGAGUAGGCUGCCCUUCGGGGUGAAAACUUGCACAGGUGCUGCAUGGCUGUCGUCAGCUCGUGUCGUGAGAUGUCGGGUUAAGUCCCUUAACGAGCGAAACCCUUACCGUUAGUUACCAGCGGGUCAUGCCGGGAACUCUAGCGGGACUGCCGGUGUUAAACCGGAGGAAGGCGGGGAUGACGUCAAGUCAUCAUGGCCUUUAUGCCCAGGGCCUCACACGUGCUACAAUGGCCGGUACAAAGUGACGCAAGACCGCAAGGUGGAGCAAAUCACAAAAAAACCGGCCCCAGUUCGGAUUGUAGGCUGGCAACUCGCCUGCAUGAAGUUGGAAUCGCUAGUAAUCGCGGAUCAGCUACGCCGCGGUGAAUGUGUUCCUGAGCCUUGUACACACCGCCCGUCAAGUGAUGGGAGUUGGAAGUACCCGAAGUCGGUCUGCCAACCCGCAAGGGAGGCGACUGCCGACGGUAAGUCCGACGACUGGCACUAAGUCGAAACAAGGUA